Molecule: unclassified non-coding RNA, 290 nt
Filed under: fungal sp.
Lineage: Eukaryota; Fungi
Description: partial internal transcribed spacer region
Rfam family: Eukaryotic small subunit ribosomal RNA (bases 1-46)
Source: RNAcentral
AAGUCGUAACAAGGUUUCCGUAGGUGAACCUGCGGAAGGAUCAUUAACACGUACAGUUGCAAUUUGAGCGGUAGUUCUAUAGGCCUUGUUUCCCCAAGCAAUCCGGUCUGAAAGUGUCACUGAUUGUGCAAGGAUAACGCUUCAACGAUUCCUGUAGACCGAUCACCGGGCAGGAGCUAGGCCAAAGGGUCCCCAUGCCCCCUUACGACACUUGCAGUUUAAUGUGAAGCUCAAUGUAAUACAUUGGGUAAAAAACCGUACAACUGUUAACAAUGGAUAUCUAGGUUCUC